This is a long non-coding RNA of Daphnia carinata, 388 nucleotides long. RefSeq lists it as uncharacterized. Lineage: Eukaryota; Metazoa; Arthropoda; Branchiopoda; Diplostraca; Daphniidae. The record is from RefSeq and is a predicted model, not a curated record. The transcript is spliced from 2 exons.
CUUUUAUCUCCAUCCACCAAACUUCUCUAUUUCGACAUGAAGGAUUGACGUGCACGGAGUAAUGAAGGAUUUUGAACUUUCUCUUCUGUUGUGUUGCUUCAUUGCGGAAAAUAAAUUUCUCGUCCAAACGGUUGAAAAAGUUUGUAGAAAAAGAACUAUCCAUUUUGUGACUGGAGUACAUAUAUUCAUUUAAACUUGCAAUUUCACUACCCACAUGAAAACUAAGGCUUAUGCAAUAUGGGAGAAAAAACAGUAACCAACUAGCAUGGUUUCUGAACAGCUUUUGUUUUAUUGGAUGUGGCAAAUCUAUCCUAUGUUUAAUAGUUUUUCGCAUUCUUUCAGUGCCACUUUACAAUGCAAAAAUAAAAACCUUCGCGUUAUUGUUUUA